GAUGAACGCUGGCGGCGUGCCUAAUACAUGCAAGUCGAGCGAACAGACGAGGAGCUUGCUCCUCUGACGUUAGCGGCGGACGGGUGAGUAACACGUGGAUAACCUACCUAUAAGACUGGGAUAACUUCGGGAAACCGGAGCUAAUACCGGAUAACAUGUUGAACCGCAUGGUUUAACAGUGAAAGACGGUCUUGCUGUCACUUAUAGAUGGAUCCGCGCCGCAUUAGCUAGUUGGUAAGGUAACGGCUUACCAAGGCAACGAUGCGUAGCCGACCUGAGAGGGGGAUCGACCAACCUGGACCUGUCACACGGUCCAGACACGCACGGGAGGCAGCGGUGGGGAAUCUGCAGCAAUGGUCGAAAGCCUGACGGAGCAACGCCGGGUGAGUGAAGAAGGGCUUCGGAUCGUAAAACUCUCUUAUUAGGGAAGAACAAAUGUGUAAGUAACUAUGCACGUCUUGACGGUACCUAAUCAGAAAGCCACGGCUAACUACGU
This 496-nucleotide ribosomal RNA is filed under the name uncultured bacterium. RNAcentral's name for it is "partial 16S ribosomal RNA". It matches the Rfam family "Bacterial small subunit ribosomal RNA", at positions 28 to 506 of the family's 1533-position model. The record is from RNAcentral.